RNAcentral lists this ribosomal RNA (492 nucleotides) under uncultured bacterium. RNAcentral describes it as "partial 16S ribosomal RNA". It matches the Rfam family "Bacterial small subunit ribosomal RNA", at positions 29 to 507 of the family's 1533-position model. The record is from RNAcentral.
AGUGAACGCUGGCGGUAGGCCUAACACAUGCAAGUCGAACGGCAGCACAGUAAGAGCUUGCUCUUACGGGUGGCGAGUGGCGGACGGGUGAGGAAUACAUCGGAAUCUACUUUUUCGUGGGGGAUAACGUAGGGAAACUUACGCUAAUACCGCAUACGACCUACGGGUGAAAGCAGGGGAUCUUCGGACCUUGCGCGAUUGAAUGAGCCGAUGUCGGAUUAGCUAGUUGGCGGGGUAAAGGCCCACCAAGGCGACGAUCCGUAGCUGGUCUAAGAGGAUGAUCAGCCACACUGGAACUGAGACACGGUCCAGACUCCUACGAGAGGCAGCAGUGGGGAAUAUUGGACAAAGGGCGCAAGCCUGAUCCAGCCAUACCGCGUGGGUGAAGAAGGCCUUCGGGUUGUAAAGCCCUUUUGUUGGGAAAGAAAAGCAGCAGGUUAAUACCCCGCUGUUCUGACGGUACCCAAAGAAUAAGCACCGGCUAACUUCGUG